AUCUAUGGGCAUGCCACCUUAAACAUGGCUGGUCCCAUCUGAUCUCAGAAGCUAAGCAGGGUGGAGCCUGGUUAGUACUUGGAUGGAAUACCACCUAGGAAGACCAGGUGCUGUAGGCA
This 119-nucleotide ribosomal RNA is filed under the name Pteropus alecto (black flying fox). Lineage: Eukaryota; Metazoa; Chordata; Mammalia; Chiroptera; Pteropodidae. The record is from RNAcentral.